This 1136-nucleotide ribosomal RNA is filed under the name human gut metagenome. RNAcentral describes it as "bacterial LSU rRNA". It matches the Rfam family "Bacterial large subunit ribosomal RNA", at positions 1334 to 2545 of the family's 2925-position model. The record is from RNAcentral.
CCGCCGUAAACCCGAGGUUUCCAGGGCAACGUGUUUCGUCCCUGGGUUAGCCGGGACCUAAGCCGAGGCCGAGAGGCGUAGGCGAUGGACAUCAGGUUAAUAAUCCUGAGCUCGCAACCCUUAAACUGGGGGGACGCAUGAGAAAAGAUGACUAGGUUAUUGAAUUCCGAGUUGAGUCCACGGACUCAGCGCAUCAUUGGAUCGAGUGCCAAGAAAAGCCCCAGCGUAUGCUAAGCGACCCGUACCGCAAACCGACACAGGUGGGUGGGUAGAAUAUACCAAGGCGUAAGAGUGAAACCUGGUUAAGGAACUCGGCAAAUUAGCCCCGUAACUUCGGAAGAAGGGGUGCCUGCAGCGAUGCAGGCCGCAGAGAAAUGGCCCAACCGACUGUUUAUCAAAAACACAGCACUCUGCAAAGACGCAAGUCGAAGUAUAGGGUGUGACACGUGACCAAUGCCGAAAGAUUAAGGCAAGGGGUUAGCCGCAAGGCGAAGCUCUAAACCCAAGUCCCGGUGAAUGUCGGCCGUAACUAUAACGGUCCUAAGGUAGCGAAAUUCCUUGUCGGGUAAGUUCCGACCUGCACGAAUCGUGAAACGAGUUGGGCACUGUCUCAACCAGGCGCUCAGUGAAAUUGUAGUGGCGGUGAAGAUGCCGCCUACCCGCAGAAGGACGGAAAGACCCUAUAGACCUUAACUGUAAGCUGUCAUUGUUUCUUCGGUUUUAAUGCUCAGAGUAAGUGGGAGACGCUGAAGACGCCCUUUAGGGGGCGUCCGAGUCAUCAAUGAGACACCACCCUUUGAAACUGGAGGAUCUAACCCUGAGCCGUGAAUCCGGCCAGAGGACCGUGUCAGCCGGUCAGUUUUACUGGGGCGGUAUCCUCCCAAAGAGUAACGGAGGAGCGCGAAGGUGGGCUCAGCCCGGUUGGCAACCGGGUGUCGAGUGCAUGGGCAUAAGCCCGCCUAACUGUGAGACCAACAAGUCGAGCAGAUGCGAAAGCAGGCCCAAGUGAUCCGGCGGUAGAAAGUGGAAUUGCCGUCGCUCAACGGAUAAAAGGUACCUUAGGGAUAACAGGCUGAUCACGCCCAAGAGUUCAUAUCGACGGCGUGGUUUGGCACCUCGAUGUCGGCUCGUCGCAU